Molecule: ribosomal RNA, 507 nt
Filed under: uncultured bacterium
Lineage: Bacteria
Description: partial 16S ribosomal RNA
Rfam family: Bacterial small subunit ribosomal RNA
Source: RNAcentral
GACGAACGCUGGCGGCGUGCUUAACACAUGCAAGUCGAACGGGCCUUGUCCCCUUUUUUUUGGGGGUGGGGUUAGUGGCGAACGGGUGAGUAACACGUGAGUAACCUGCCCCUCACUUCUGGAUAACCGCUUGAAAGGGUGGCUAAUACGGGGUGUUCUGGCCUGCUCGCAUGGGUGGGUUUGGUAAGCUUCGACCGGUUUUGGUUGGUUUGGUGGGGGAUGGGCUCGCGGCCUAUCAGCUUGUUGGUGGGGUGAUGGCCUUCCAAGGCUUUGACGGGUAGCCGGCCUGAGAGGGUGGGCGGUCACACUGGGACUGAGACACGGCCCAGACUACUACGGGAGGCAGAAGUGGGGAAUAAUGCACAAUGGGCGCAAGCCUGAUGCAGCGACGCCGCGUGAGGGAUGGAGGCCUUCGGGUUGUGAACCUCUUUCGCCAGUGAAGAAGGUCCUGCUCUUUGUGGUGGGGUUGACGGUAGCUGGGUUAAUGAAGCGCCGGCUAACUACGUG